GAUGAACGCUGGCGGCGUGCUUAACACAUGCAAGUCGAACGGUAACAGGAGAAAGCUUGCUUUCUUGCUGACGAGUGGCGGACGGGUGAGUAAUGCUUGGGAAUCUGGCUUAUGGAGGGGGAUAACGACGGGAAACUGUCGCUAAUACCGCGUAGAGUCGAGAGACGAAAGUGCGGGACCGCAAGGCCGCAUGCCAUAGGAUGAGCCCAAGUGGGAUUAGGUAGUUGGUGGGGUAAAGGCCUACCAAGCCGACGAUCUCUAGCUGGUCUGAGAGGAUGACCAGCCACACCGGGACUGAGACACGGCCCGGACUCCUACGGGAGGCAGCAGUGGGGAAUAUUGCGCAAUGGGGGCAACCCUGACGCAGCCAUGCCGCGUGAAUGAAGAAGGCCUUCGGGUUGUAAAGUUCUUUCGGUAUUGAGGAAGGUUGUUGUGUUAAUAGCACGACAAAUUGACGUUAAAUACAGAAGAAGCACCGGCUAACUCCGUGCCAGCAGCCGCGGUAAUACGGAGGGUGCGAGCGUUAAUCGGAAUAACUGGGCGUAAAGGGCACGCAGGCGGACUUUUAAGUGAGGUGUGAAAUCCCCGGGCUUAACCUGGGAAUUGCAUUUCAGACUGGGAGUCUAGAGUACUUUAGGGAGGGGUAGAAUUCCACGUGUAGCGGUGAAAUGCGUAGAGAUGUGGAGGAAUACCGAAGGCGAAGGCAGCCCCUUGGGAAUGUACUGACGCUCAUGUGCGAAAGCGUGGGGAGCAAACAGG
RNAcentral lists this ribosomal RNA (759 nucleotides) under uncultured Aggregatibacter sp. Its description in RNAcentral is "bacterial SSU rRNA". It matches the Rfam family "Bacterial small subunit ribosomal RNA", at positions 28 to 776 of the family's 1533-position model. The record is from RNAcentral. Lineage: Bacteria; Pseudomonadati; Pseudomonadota; Gammaproteobacteria; Pasteurellales; Pasteurellaceae.